CGUAUUUGAGUGACCGUACCGCAAGCCGACACUGGUAGGUGGGUAGAAUAUACCAAGGGGAGCGAGAGAACCCUCGUUAAGGAAUUAGGCAAAUUUCCCCCGUACGUUCGCAAUAAGGGGGGCCUCUGGUGGUGAGCUUAAUCGCAAAGCUGCUGGAGGCCGCAGAGAAAUGGCUCUUCCAACUGUUUAACAAAAACACAGGUCUCUGCUAAGUCGAAAGACGAAGUAUAGGGGCUGACGCCUGCCCAGUGCUGGAAGGUUAAGGGGAGAGGUUAGGCGCAAGCCGAAGCUUUGAGCCGAAGCCCCAGUGAACGGCGGCCGUAACAAUAACGGUCCUAAGGUAGCGAAAUUCCUUGUCGGGUAAGAUCCGACCCGCACGAAUGGCGUAAUGAGAGGAGCACUGUCUCAACGAGGGACUCGGCGAACAUUGAAGGACGUGUGAAGAUACACGUGACCCGCAGCGGGACAAAAAGACCCCGUGAAGCUUUAUUACAACUUGCCAUUGAGUUAGGGCUAAACCUGUGUAGUAUGGGUGGGAGGCUUUGAAGCUGGGACGCCAGUCUCGGUGGAGCCACCGUUGAAAUACCACCCUGGUUUAUUCUUGGCUCUAACCUGUCGCCGUUAUCCGGCAUGGGAACAGUGGCUGGUGGGUAGUUUGACUGGGGCGGUCGCCUCCGAAAGCGUAACAGAGGCGCCCAAAGGUUCCCUCAGGCUGAAUGGAAACCAGCCGUUGAGUGUAAAGGCACAAGGGAGCUUGACUGCAAGACCAACAAGUCGCGCAGGGACGAAAGUCGGGCUUAGUGAUCCCACGGUUCAGAGUGGAAUGGCCGUGGCUUACCGGAUAAAAGCUACUCCGGGGAUAACAGGGUAGUCUGGUCCAAGAGUUCAUAUCGACGACCAGGUUCGCCACCUCGAUGUCGGCUCAUCACAUCCUGGGGCUGGAUAAGGUCCCAAGGGUUGGGCUGUUCGCCCAUUAAAGUGGUACGUGAGCUGGGUUCAGACCGUCGUGAGACAGGUCGGUCUCUAUCCGCUGUGGGCGUAAGGGAUUUGAGAGAAGCUGCCCCUAGUACGAGAGGACCGGGGUGGACGGACCUCUAGUGUGCCAGUUGUUCUGCCAAGAGCAUUGCUGGGUAGCUACGUCCGGCAGAGAUAACCGCUGAAAGCAUCUAAGUGGGAAACUCGUCUCAAGAUUAGAUCCCUCAUCCGUAUGGAGUAAGACCGCUAGAAGACUACUAGUUUGAUAGGCGGCAGGUGUAAGCGCAGUAAUGUGUUCAGCUUAGCCGUACUAAUGGUCGAGGGCUUACGUUU
This 1308-nucleotide ribosomal RNA is filed under the name metagenome. Its description in RNAcentral is "bacterial LSU rRNA". It matches the Rfam family "Bacterial large subunit ribosomal RNA", at positions 1629 to 2925 of the family's 2925-position model. The record is from RNAcentral.